RNAcentral lists this ribosomal RNA (497 nucleotides) under uncultured bacterium. RNAcentral describes it as "partial 16S ribosomal RNA". It matches the Rfam family "Bacterial small subunit ribosomal RNA", at positions 28 to 507 of the family's 1533-position model. The record is from RNAcentral.
GAUGAACGCUGGCGGCGUGCCUAAUACAUGCAAGUCGAGCGAACAGACGAGGAGCUUGCUCCUCUGACGUUAGCGGCGGACGGGUGAGUAACACGUGGAUAACCUACCUAUAAGACUGGGAUAACUUCGGGAAACCGGAGCUAAUACCGGAUAACAUGUUGAACCGCAUGGUUCAACAGUGAAAGACGGUCUUGCUGUCACUUAUAGAUGGAUCCGCGCCGCAUUAGCUAGUUGGUAAGGUAACGGCUUACCAAGGCAACGAUGCGUAGCCGACCUGAGAGGGUGAUCGGCCACACUGGAACUGAGACACGGUCCAGACUCCUACGGGAGGCAGCAGUAGGGAAUCUUCCGCAAUGGGCGAAAGCCUGACGGAGCAACGCCACGUGAGUGAAGAAGGUCUUCGGAUCGUAAAACUCUGUUAUUAGGGAAGAACAAAUGUGUAAGUAACUAUGCACGUCUUGACGGUACCUAAUCAGAAAGCCACGGCUAACUACGUG